Molecule: long non-coding RNA, 362 nt
Organism: Symsagittifera roscoffensis
Lineage: Eukaryota; Metazoa; Xenacoelomorpha; Acoela; Convolutidae
Exons: 3
Source: RefSeq, a predicted model, not a curated record
UAGAAACAACAAACAUGUCAGUUUUAGUAAACUAAUUACGAAUUUGAAGUUUCAUAACCAAGAAGCCAAAAUGUUGAUCCAACUCUUUGUUUUGACUUUAAAUGUCGCUCAAUCGAUGUACGUGCCUGAUGAUGCAUUGACAGAUGACUGGCAAUCGCUGGUAUUCGCAGCACCGUUUGAACACGGAAAUAUACUAUCAGCCAAAUGCGCCGUAUUCAGUGAUAAUUUUUGCCUGCUCGGUUUCAUAGUAUACACACAACAAACCAGAAGACCCCCACUUGAUAUCGACGCCUUCAGAUUCCUAGAUUUGAUCGAUAAUAAUUACCCAGAAAUCAACUUCUACUCAUUCUCUACGACCCGUC